This 332-nucleotide ribosomal RNA is filed under the name uncultured bacterium. Its description in RNAcentral is "bacterial SSU rRNA". It matches the Rfam family "Bacterial small subunit ribosomal RNA", at positions 568 to 898 of the family's 1533-position model. The record is from RNAcentral.
UGCGUAGGUGGUCGGGUAAGUCUGAUGUGAAAUCUCCGAGCUUAACUCGGAAAUGGCAUUGGAUACUAUUCGGCUAGAGGGUUUGAGGGGGGACUGGAAUACUUGGUGUAGCAGUGAAAUGCGUAGAUAUCAAGUGGAACACCAGUGGCGAAGGCGAGUCCCUGGAAAACUCCUGACACUGAGGCACGAAAGCUAGGGGAGCAAACAGGAUUAGAUACCCUGGUAGUCCUAGCUGUAAACGGUGCAUAUUUGCUGUAAAAGGAAUCGACCCCUUUUGUGGCGUAGCAAACGCGUUAAAUAUGCCGCCUGGGAAGUACGGUCGCAAGAUUAAA